RNAcentral lists this ribosomal RNA (253 nucleotides) under uncultured bacterium. RNAcentral describes it as "partial 16S ribosomal RNA". It matches the Rfam family "Bacterial small subunit ribosomal RNA", at positions 524 to 776 of the family's 1533-position model. The record is from RNAcentral.
UACGUAGGUGGCAAGCGUUGUUCGGAAUUAUUGGGCGUAAAGGGCGCGUAGGCGGUCUUGUAAGUCAGCUGUGAAAGCCCGGGGCUCAACCCCGGAGGGUCGGCUGAUACUGCAGGACUGGAGUACGGAAGAGGUAGCUGGAACUCCCGGUGUAGCGGUGAAAUGCGUAGAUAUCGGGAGGAACACCUGAGGCGAAGGCGGGCUACUGGGCCGAUACUGACGCUGAGGCGCGAAAGCCAGGGGAGCAAACGGG